Molecule: ribosomal RNA, 394 nt
Filed under: Trichoceromyia oregonensis
Lineage: Eukaryota; Metazoa; Arthropoda; Insecta; Diptera; Cecidomyiidae
Description: partial 12S ribosomal RNA
Source: RNAcentral
UAUUAUUAUAAGUAUAUUAUUUAUUUUGUUAACAAUUAGUAAAAAUUAAAUAAAUUAAAAUUUAAAAAUUUUGGUAGUAUUUUUAUUUAUUAGAGGAAUUUGUUUAAUAAAUGUUAUUUCACAAUAAAUUUUACUUAAUUUUAUUAAAUUUGUAUAUCGUUGUCUUUAUUUUUUCUUAAGAAAAAAUAAUAAUUUUUAAAAUUUAUAAUAAAUGUCAAAUCAAGGUGCAGUUAAUGAUUAAGUUAAAAAUGAAUUACAUUUAAUAAAAAUUUUCAAUUUUUAUAUUGAAAUAUAUAAUUUAAGGUGGAUUUAAAUGUAAAUUUUAUUAAAUUAUGAAUUUGAUUAUAAUUUAAAGUAUAUACAAAUUGUCCGUCACUUCUAAAAUUUAGGAUAA